GCCUGGCGUCAUUCCUGUUUUAAACAUCGUGGGAGGAAUAACAUUUUAGAUCUUUGCACACAUGCUCAUUGGGAAAAGGGUCUCAUCAAUCUCCGGUUUUAAUCCUUUUUUUGUUUUUUUCUUUUUUUUCUUUUUUCCGGAGCUAGGGACCGUACCCAGGGCCUUGCGUUUGCUAGGCAAGCGCUCUACCACUGAGCUAAAUCCCCAACCCCUCCAGCUUUAAUCCUUGUGUCUUCUAAUGGUGGUUCUGUAGAGUGUCAUUGGGCAUACCUACUGGUAUGUAACAUAGGAGAACUGUAGACACUUCUUGCAUGUGCUGGCUUGACCUGUGUAUUUAUUUCAUGCUCUAAACCGUGUCGUUUUGGCAGGCAUUCCACUCAGCAUGAUGCAGUUGCCAUACAGCCUUUAUACGAAAAUGGCACCUCUUGCUCCCAAAGGGCAGUUCUUGUUGCUGAAUCCACCCAACCGAUACGACUCAGCAGUAUUAUUCUCG
RNAcentral lists this long non-coding RNA (493 nucleotides) under Rattus norvegicus (Norway rat). Its description in RNAcentral is "long non-coding RNA NONRATT015476". The record is from RNAcentral. Lineage: Eukaryota; Metazoa; Chordata; Mammalia; Rodentia; Muridae.